AUCCCAUGAUGAGGGCAUCUUCUCAAGAGGUCCUUGUAUCUCUCUCAUGCAUCAUAGAAUGUCUCUAGAUCCAUCUGCAUAAAAGAAGAGAUAUCAUUCCUUAAUUU
This is a non-coding RNA of Gossypium hirsutum (cotton), 107 nucleotides long. The record is from Rfam. Lineage: Eukaryota; Viridiplantae; Streptophyta; Magnoliopsida; Malvales; Malvaceae.